This 274-nucleotide ribosomal RNA is filed under the name uncultured bacterium. RNAcentral describes it as "partial 16S ribosomal RNA". It matches the Rfam family "Bacterial small subunit ribosomal RNA", at positions 523 to 796 of the family's 1533-position model. The record is from RNAcentral.
AUACGGAGGGGACAAGCGUUAUUCGGAAUCACUGGGCGUAAAGGACGCGUAGGCGGGUUAUUAAGUCGGGUGUGAAAUCCAAUGGCUCAACCAUUGAACUGCAUUCGAAACUGAUAACCUAGAGUAUGGAAGGGGCAGGUGGAAUUAGUGGUGUAGGGGUAAAAUCCGUAGAUAUCACUAGGAAUACCGAAAGCGAAGGCGACCUGCUGGGACAUUACUGACGCUGAGGCGUGAAAGCGUGGGGAGCAAACAGGAUUAGAAACCCCUGUAGUCC